ACGGAAUAGAUACCCCGGUAGUCCCAGCCGUAAACGAUGCUCGCUAGGUGUCAGGCAUGGCGCGACCGUGUCUGGUGCCGCAGGGAAGCCGUGAAGCGAGCCACCUGGGAAGUACGGCCGCAAGGCUGAAACUUAAAGGAAUUGGCGGGGGAGCACAACAACGGGUGGAGCCUGCGGUUUAAUUGGACUCAACGCCGGACAACUCACCGGGGGCGACAGCAAUAUGUAGGCCAGGCUGAAGACCUUGCCUGAAUCGCUGAGAGGAGGUGCAUGGCCGUCGCCAGUUCGUACUGUGAAGCAUCCUGUUAAGUCAGGCAACGAGCGAGACCCGUGCCCACUGUUACCAGCAUGUCCUCAGGGACGAUGGGUACUCUGUGGGGACCGCCGGUGUUAAAUCGGAGGAAGGUGCGGGCCACGGUAGGUCAGUAUGCCCCGAAUCUCCCGGGCUACACGCGGGCUACAAUGGAUGGGACAAUGGGUCCCUACCCCGAAAGGGAUGGUAAUCUCAUAAACCCAUUCCUAGUUCGGAUCGA
RNAcentral lists this ribosomal RNA (533 nucleotides) under uncultured bacterium. Its description in RNAcentral is "bacterial SSU rRNA". It matches the Rfam family "Archaeal small subunit ribosomal RNA", at positions 723 to 1257 of the family's 1478-position model. The record is from RNAcentral.